GACACAUUUCGACCAAACAAGCCAGGGGUGCGAUUACCGCUCUCGGAUGCAAAGCCACUAAUGGAUGCACGAUUUUACAGUGAUCAAAGGUAGUCAAACUAUAGAAGAUUAGCAGAUUGGUGGUGAAGAAGAUCAAUGUUUGACUCAGAAGUUUUGGCUACAACCACAUUAGGAGGGUGGUGUUUGUGGUUGCGAUUCUGGUGGUCAUUGUUUGCAAACGAUGGCGGUGAUGGCAAUUUGGAAUACUGAAUUGUGGAUUAGGGUUUAUUCUGGUAUGUGUUUUCUUCUUUUGUUAGGCUAAAGAUAUGGAAUUUUCAUUAAAGAUACAUGGAAUUUUCAUUUUCUUGGGCUUUAGUC
This 357-nucleotide long non-coding RNA is filed under the name Olea europaea subsp. europaea. The record is from RNAcentral. Lineage: Eukaryota; Viridiplantae; Streptophyta; Magnoliopsida; Lamiales; Oleaceae.